ACACAAUUGUACGUUAGUACACUGAGAACAAUAAAAUACAGGAUCUGCCAGCUGAAAUGGAAGUUAACAGUUUAGCCUCUGGCAAUAUUAUUUUUGAGAAUGCUUUCACUUUCUUAAGUUUAGGUAAAGCUAGUGGUUGAUUUGAACUAAAUAGAAUUCACUCAGUACUUUAGAACGCGUGCUACAGUGAAGAAUGGCUUCAGGAAACAAACUUUGAGAAUCAGAAUUGGAGAAUCAUAUUAUCCACGUCAACUCAGCAGUGAAAUGAUUAGUAAUUGAUUGCGUGUUCUGCACAUUGUCCCUGCAAAAUAACCGCCUUAUUCAAGAAAUUGACUGUGGAGGAAAUAGAAUUGCCUUUCAAGAUUCCUUGCAGCUGUGAUCCAAGGCAGAAAAAAAGAUAUCCCACAGCAGGAAUUCACCCAGCAACCACUGCACCUCAGCAAUGUAGGCGUACAGGAAAGGGACCUGUGCCGUGUUCAUCUCCCUCUUUAAAAUCAGCACAAAAGACAACGAUAUCAAGGGUGCUCAUUUUCCUCUUUAUGAUAUAAAAGAGGUUACAUUGACUCUUCAAGAACAGUGUUGGCAAGGAGAAAUUUUGUUUCCUUCUUUCUUUUCUUUUAACUGUAUCUAUACGGGAAGAUGGAUGUUAGCUGAACCUUUGUGAGUGGCUAGAAGAAUGGACCUUGAAACCAGAUUGCCUGGUUUUGAAUUCCAAUUUGACCACUUAUGAGCUCUGGGAGCCUUUACCACGCAGUC
Molecule: long non-coding RNA, 756 nt
Filed under: Equus caballus (horse)
Lineage: Eukaryota; Metazoa; Chordata; Mammalia; Perissodactyla; Equidae
Description: lncRNA (ENSECAG00000035877.3)
Source: RNAcentral